AACCUAGCACACCUGCGGUGUGUACCUGCGGAAGGAUCAUUACGAAAUUCUCGGUGGCGCAGCCGGUUACGGCCCGCGCCCCCGCUGGAAGCGCCGGGAGGCGUCUAACAGCGUAACCCCCUUGUGAAAUCAACCCCGUUGCUUCGGCAGCCCCUCCCAGGAGCGGUAAGCCUGCCGCCAGCAUCACGGAAACUCAAUCUGAAAACUUGCACCCCCUUGUCUGAACGGCGCAGUCGAAUG
Molecule: unclassified non-coding RNA, 240 nt
Filed under: soil metagenome
Description: partial contains 5.8S ribosomal RNA, internal transcribed spacer 2, and large subunit ribosomal RNA
Source: RNAcentral